RNAcentral lists this ribosomal RNA (173 nucleotides) under uncultured bacterium. RNAcentral describes it as "partial 16S ribosomal RNA". It matches the Rfam family "Bacterial small subunit ribosomal RNA", at positions 362 to 525 of the family's 1533-position model. The record is from RNAcentral.
AUUUGCGCAAUGGGCGAAAGCCUGAUCCACGCCAUGCCGCGUGUGUGAUGAAGGCCUUCGGGUUGUAAACCUCUUUUGUCCGGGAAGAAAGGGUGUGGGCUAAUACCUUGUGGUUUUGACGGUACCGUGAGAAUAAGCCCCGGCUAAAUACGUGCCAGCAGCCGCGGUAAUCA